AUGGAGGGCGCCGAGUUCGUCCAUGCCGUGGCGCCCGGCGUCACCGUGGCCGAUGUCACCGCGCCGCUGUAUACCCCGAUGCUGGUCCGGUCCUUCUUCCCGCUGGAUGGGCUGCAUGGCGUCGACGCUGCCGCGGGCUCGCACCCGCUCCUAGCCGUGCAGGUCACCGAGCUGGCCGACGGUGUCUUCGUCGGCAUGUCGCUCAACCACGCUGUCGCCGACGGUUCGGCCUUGUGGCACCUCUUCAACACCUGGUCGGAGAUCAGCCGUCAGAGUGACGGCGCCGACAUCUCCUCUCCUUUGCCGGUGCACCGGAGGUGGUUCCUCGACGGCUGCCCUGUUCCGAUCCCUCUGCCCUUCGGCAAGCUGGAGGACAUCCCGGUCAGCCGGCGUACUGCAGAUGAGCAUCCAUCAUCUGUGAAGGUGGAAUGCUUCCUCAAUUUCUCGGCCGAGAUGGUAAAGAAGCUCAAAGCAAAGGCAAACGCCGAGAUGUCCGGCACCAGCAAUGGCACCACCACCAUCUCGUCGUUGCAGGCCCUGCUCGCGCACCUAUGGUGGAUCGCGGUGACCCGAGCCAGGAGGCUGGCACCGGACCACAGGACGACGUACGUCAUCCUCGUCGGAUGUCGGGGCCGCGUGGAUGGCCUGCCGGCGGCGUACGCCGGCAACGCCGUUGCACGCGCCGAGGCGGUGUCGACCGCCGGCGAGAUCCUACAAAGGGGGCUGGGCUGGACCGGGUCACUGCUGAACAGAGCGGUGGCGUCGUUCGACGUGGCAACUCAGAGGGACAGACAUGCAUCCUGGCCGCAAGAGCAUUACUUCUUGCGUGCGCGCCCAACGGCCACGGCAAAGAUGGUGACGGGUGGCUCGCCGCGGUUCGACGUGUACGGGAACGACUUCGGGUGGGGCCGGCCGGUGGGCGUGCGGAGUGGCCGUGCGAACAAGAUGGGCGGGACGGCGACGGUGUUCGAGGGUAGAGACGGCGGAGGAAGCAUGGCUCUCGGGGUGUGGCUCUCGCCGGAGGUGCUCGCGAGGCUCGUCGCCGACGAGGAGUUCAUGAGCGCGGUAAGCACGGUCACGGCGUGA
This 1086-nucleotide ribosomal RNA is filed under the name Triticum aestivum (bread wheat). Its description in RNAcentral is "partial small subunit ribosomal RNA". Lineage: Eukaryota; Viridiplantae; Streptophyta; Magnoliopsida; Poales; Poaceae. The record is from RNAcentral.